This 1170-nucleotide ribosomal RNA is filed under the name Triticum aestivum (bread wheat). Its description in RNAcentral is "partial small subunit ribosomal RNA". Lineage: Eukaryota; Viridiplantae; Streptophyta; Magnoliopsida; Poales; Poaceae. The record is from RNAcentral.
AUGUCGCACCGGAAGUUCGAGCACCCGAGGCACGGAUCCCUCGGUUUCCUCCCCAGGAAGCGGUGCUCGCGCCACCGCGGAAAGGUGAAGGCCUUCCCCAGAGAUGACCAAUCCAAGAAAUGCCAUCUCACUGCCUUCCUUGGCUACAAGGCUGGGAUGACUCACAUUGUGCGUGAGGUCGAGAAGCCUGGUUCCAAGCUACACAAGAAGGAGACAUGUGAGGCUGUCACCAUUGUUGAGACACCCCCGAUUGUUAUUGUUGGACUUGUUGCCUAUGUGAAGACUCCUCGUGGCCUUCGUACUCUCAACUCUGUCUGGGCACAGCAUCUCAGCGAAGAUGUGAGGAGAAGGUUCUACAAGAACUGGUGCAAGAGCAAGAAGAAGGCCUUCACCAAGUAUGCUCUGAAGUAUGACAGUGAUGCUGGCAAGAAAGAAAUCCAGAUGCAGCUUGAGAAGAUGAAGAAGUAUGCUACUGUUGUCCGAGUUAUCGCCCAUACCCAGAUCAGGAAGAUGAAGGGGUUGAAGCAGAAGAAGGCUCACCUCAUGGAGAUCCAGAUCAAUGGUGGCACCAUCGCUGACAAGGUCGACUAUGGUUACAACUUCUUUGAGAAGGAAGUCCCCAUUGAUGCUGUAUUCCAAAAAGAUGAGAUGAUUGACAUCAUUGGAGUUACCAAGGGUAAGGGUUAUGAAGGUGUUGUGACACGUUGGGGUGUCACCCGUCUUCCCCGCAAGACCCACAGAGGUCUUCGCAAGGUUGCCUGUAUUGGUGCCUGGCAUCCUGCUAGGGUGUCCUACACUGUUGCUCGUGCUGGUCAGAAUGGAUACCACCACCGAACUGAGAUGAACAAGAAGGUCUACAAGAUUGGCAAGGUUGGACAGGAAACUCAUGAUGCCUCUACUGAGUUCGACAGGACCGAGAAGGACAUCACUCCGAUGGGCGGCUUCCCUCACUAUGGUGUGGUGAAGGCUGACUACCUGAUGAUCAAAGGAUGCUGUGUCGGCCCCAAGAAGCGCGUGGUGACCCUCCGCCAGUCCCUGCUGAAGCAGACCUCUCGUCUGGCCCUGGAGGAGAUCAAGCUCAAGUUUGUCGACACCUCUUCCAAGUUCGGCCACGGUCGCUUCCAGACCACAGACGAGAAGCAGAGGUUCUACGGCAAGCUCAAGGCUUGA